Molecule: ribosomal RNA, 468 nt
Filed under: uncultured bacterium
Lineage: Bacteria
Description: partial 16S ribosomal RNA
Rfam family: Bacterial small subunit ribosomal RNA
Source: RNAcentral
GACGAACGCUGGCGGCGUGCUUAACACAUGCAAGUCGAACGGAAAGACCCUGCUUUUGUGGGGUGCUCGAGUGGCGAACGGGUGAGUAACACGUGAGUAACCUGCCCUUGACUUUGGGAUAACUUCAGGAAACUGGGGCUAAUACCGGAUAGGAGCUCCUGCUGCAUGGUGGGGGUUGGAAAGUUUCGGCGGUUGGGGAUGGACUCGCGGCUUAUCAGCUUGUUGGGGGGGUAGUGGCUUACCAAGGCUUUGACGGGUAGCCGGCCUGAGAGGGUGACCGGCCACAUUGGGACUGAGAUACGGCCCAGACUCCUACGGGAGGCAGCAGUGGGGAAUAUUGCACAAUGGGCGGAAGCCUGAUGCAGCAACGCCGCGUGCGGGAUGACGGCCUUCGGGUUGUAAACCGCUUUCGCCUGUGACGAAGCGUGAGUGACGGUAAUGGGUAAAGAAGCACCGGCUAACUACGUG